This 619-nucleotide unclassified non-coding RNA is filed under the name Phytophthora palmivora. RNAcentral describes it as "partial contains ITS1, 5.8S rRNA and ITS2". The stretch from base 96 to 250 matches the Rfam family "5.8S ribosomal RNA". Lineage: Eukaryota; Oomycota; Peronosporomycetes; Peronosporales; Peronosporaceae. The record is from RNAcentral.
UUUGGGCUUCGGUCUGAACUAGUAGCUUUUUUAAACCCAUUCUUUAUAACUGAUUAUACUGUAGGGACGAAAGUCUCUGCUUUUAACUAGAUAGCAACUUUCAGCAGUGGAUGUCUAGGCUCGCACAUCGAUGAAGAACGCUGCGAACUGCGAUACGUAAUGCGAAUUGCAGGAUUCAGUGAGUCAUCGAAAUUUUGAACGCAUAUUGCACUUCCGGGUUAGUCCUGGGAGUAUGCCUGUAUCAGUGUCCGUACAUCAAACUUGGUUUUCUUCCUUCCGUGUAGUCGGUGGUGGAUGUGCCAGAUGUGAAGUGUCUUGCGGCUGGUCUUCGGAUCGGCUGUGAGUCCUUUGAAAUGUACUGAACUGUACUUCUCUUUGCUCCAAAAGCGUGGCGUUGCUGAUUGUGGAGGCUGCUUGCGUAGCCAGUCUGGCGACCAGUUUGUCUGCUGUGGCAUUAAUGGAGGAGUGUUCGAUUCGCGGUAUGGUUGGCUUCGGCUGAACAGACGCUUAUUAAAUAUUUCUUCAGCUGUGGUGGUAUGAGUUGGUGAACCGUAGCUAUGUGAGCUUGGCUUUUGAAUUGGCUUUGCUGUUGCGAAGUAGAGUGGCGGCUUCGGCUGUC